AUGCGUUCAUACCACCAGCUGUAUUGUGGAAACUGCACAAAAGAGCCAUUAACUUCACAGAGUACUGUAGCACAGGGGAGGCAUGAGAAUCAGAAGUGUGAUGUUCUCCUCAGAAAUCACCUCUAAAAUAUCAAAGUUCUAUCUGAUGUUUAAAAUAUUUAUUUCCUAAAUUUGGACUCAAAAAAUAGGGGUUGUCUUAUACAUGGGGGCAUCUGAU
Non-coding RNA from Pelobates cultripes (western spadefoot toad), 217 nucleotides. Lineage: Eukaryota; Metazoa; Chordata; Amphibia; Anura; Pelobatidae. The record is from the annotation of a GenBank genome assembly.